RNAcentral lists this ribosomal RNA (625 nucleotides) under uncultured Actinomycetes bacterium. Its description in RNAcentral is "bacterial SSU rRNA". It matches the Rfam family "Bacterial small subunit ribosomal RNA", at positions 8 to 647 of the family's 1533-position model. Lineage: Bacteria; Bacillati; Actinomycetota; Actinomycetes. The record is from RNAcentral.
AGAGUUUGAUCAUGGCUCAGGACGAACGCUGGCGGCGUGCUUAACACAUGCAAGUCGAGCGAUGAAGUUUCUUCGGAAAUGGAUUAGCGGCGAACGGGUGAGGAACACGUGAAGAAUCUGCCCUCCACUUUGGGAUAACACCGGGAAACCGGUGCUAAUACCGAAUAUUGAAACAUAAGUGGCAUCACUGAGUUUUGAAAGAAUUUCGGUGGAGGAUGACUUCGCGGCCUAUCAGCUAGUUGGUGAGGUAAUGGCUCACCAAGGCAACGACGGGUAGCCGGCCUGAGAGGGCGACCGGCCACACUGGGACUGAGACACGGCCCAGACUCCUACGGGAGGCAGCAGUGGGGAAUAUUGGGCAAUGGAGGAAACUCUGACCCAGCGACGCCGCGUGCGGGAUGAAGGCCUUCGGGUUGUAAACCGCUUUCAGUAGGGAAGAAGCGAAAGUGACGGUACCUACAAAAGAAGCACCGGCUAACUAUGUGCCAGCAGCCGCGGUAAUACAUAGGGUGCAAGCGUUGUCCGGAAUUAUUGGGCGUAAAGAGCUCGUAGGUCGUUUGUUACGUCGGAUGUGAAAACCUGAGGCUCAACCCUCAGCCUGCAUUCGAUACGGGCAAACUAGAGU